This 461-nucleotide ribosomal RNA is filed under the name uncultured bacterium. RNAcentral's name for it is "partial 16S ribosomal RNA". It matches the Rfam family "Bacterial small subunit ribosomal RNA", at positions 338 to 795 of the family's 1533-position model. The record is from RNAcentral.
UCUACGGGUGGCAGCAGUGAGGAAUAUUGGUCAAUGGGCGGAAGCCUGAACCAGCCAAGUCGCGUGAGGGAAUAAGGCCCUACGGGUCGUACACCUCUUUUGCCGGGGAGCAAGGUCCGGGACGCGUCCCGGCCCGGAGAGUACCCGGAGACAAAGCCUCGGCUAACACCUUGCCAGCAGCCGCGGUAAUACGGAGGAUGCGGGCGUUCUCGGGAUUUAUUGGGUUUAAAGGGUGCGUAGGCGGGCUUUUAAGUCAGCGGUAAACAUUCGGGGCUCAACCCCGUCCGGCCGUUGAAACUGGGGGCCUUGAGUGGGCGAGAAGAAGGCGGAAUGCGUGGUGUAGCGGUGAAAUGCAUAGAUAUCACGCAGAACCCCGAUUGCGAAGGCAGCCUUCCGGCGCCCUACUGACGCUGAGGCACGAAAGUGCGGGGAUCGAACAGGAUUAGAUACCCGGUGUAGUC